RNAcentral lists this long non-coding RNA (232 nucleotides) under Capsella rubella. Its description in RNAcentral is "long non-coding RNA (CRUB_LNC003561)". Lineage: Eukaryota; Viridiplantae; Streptophyta; Magnoliopsida; Brassicales; Brassicaceae. The record is from RNAcentral.
UGCAUGCUUCUAGCUCAUGUUAGUUUUUGUUUUGUUUUUCUUGGUAUGAAUUACUGUAUAAAUUACUCAAAAAAAAAAAACAACAAUAAGAAAACAAGCUUGUUACAAUAUAUAUGUUAUGGAAGUUUAAUCAAUCGUUAAUCCAUUCAUAAAUACAUGCACUAAUUAAUUUUUGUUGAUCUCAUGUAAUGGCCGAUCUCUUUUUAGGUAUGAACAUAUAGAUAUUCGGAUU